Molecule: ribosomal RNA, 546 nt
Filed under: uncultured Candidatus Poseidoniales archaeon
Lineage: Archaea; Methanobacteriati; Thermoplasmatota; Candidatus Poseidoniia; Candidatus Poseidoniales
Description: bacterial SSU rRNA
Rfam family: Archaeal small subunit ribosomal RNA
Source: RNAcentral
AUCUGGUUGAUCCUGCCAGAGGCUACCGCUAUUGGAGUUCGAUUAAGCCAUGCGAGUCGAAAGUCUUAGGGACUCGGCGUACCGCUCAGUAACACGUGGGUAACCUGCCCUAUGCUGGGGAAUAACCUCGGGAAACUGAGAAUAAUACCUCAUAGUCCAUAAUGCCUGGAACGGUUUGUGGAUUAAAGCCCCGGCGGCAUAGGAUGGGCCUGCGGCGUAUCAGGUUGUAGGGGGUGUAACGUACCCUCUAGCCAUCAACGCGUACGGGUGUUGGGAGACAAAGCCCGGAGAUGGAUUCUGAGACACGAAUCCAGACCCUACGGGGUGCAGCAGGCGCGAAAACUUGGCAAUGCGAGAAAUCGUGACCAGGGAACUCCAAGUGGCUGGGGUAAGACCCAGUCUUUUCUUGACUCUUCAAAGGUCUUGGAAUAAGAGGUGGGUAAGGACGGUGCCAGCCGCCGCGGUAAUACCGGCGCCUCAAGUGGUAGUCGAUUUUAUUGGGCCUAAAACGUCCGUAGCCUGUUUGGUACAUUCGUGGGUAAAUCA